CAGUAGCGGCGAGCGAACGGGGAGCAGCCCAGAGCCUGAAUCAGUGUGUGUGUUAGUGGAAGCGUCUGGAAAGGCGCGCGAUACAGGGUGACAGCCCCGUACACAAAAAUGCACAUACUGUGAGCUCGAUGAGUAGGGCGGGACACGUGGUAUCCUGUCUGAAUAUGGGGGGACCAUCCUCCAAGGCUAAAUACUCCUGACUGACCGAUAGUGAACCAGUACCGUGAGGGAAAGGCGAAAAGAACCCCGGCGAGGGGAGUGAAAAAGAACCUGAAACCGUGUACGUACAAGCAGUGGGAGCCUCUUUAUGGGGUGACUGCGUACCUUUUGUAUAAUGGGUCAGCGACUUAUAUUCUGUAGCAAGGUUAACCGAAUAGGGGAGCCGAAGGGAAACCGAGUCUUAACUGGGCGUUAAGUUGCAGGGUAUAGACCCGAAACCCGGUGAUCUAGCCAUGGGCAGGUUGAAGGUUGGGUAACACUAACUGGAGGACCGAACCGACUAAUGUUGAAAAAUUAGCGGAUGACUUGUGGCUGGGGGUGAAAGGCCAAUCAAACCGGGAGAUAGCUGGUUCUCCCCGAAAGCUAUUUAGGUAGCGCCUCGUGAAUUCAUCUCCGGGGGUAGAGCACUGUUUCGGCAAGGGGGUCAUCCCGACUUACCAACCCGAUGCAAACUGCGAAUACCGGAGAAUGUUAUCACGGGAGACACACGGCGGGUGCUAACGUCCGUCGUGAAGAGGGAAACAACCCAGACCGCCAGCUAAGGUCCCAAAGUCAUGGUUAAGUGGGAAACGAUGUGGGAAGGCCCAGACAGCCAGGAUGUUGGCUUAGAAGCAGCCAUCAUUUAAAGAAAGCGUAAUAGCUCACUGGUCGAGUCGGCCUGCGCGGAAGAUGUAACGGGGCUAAACCAUGCAC
This 912-nucleotide ribosomal RNA is filed under the name Escherichia coli. Its description in RNAcentral is "partial 23S ribosomal RNA". It matches the Rfam family "Bacterial large subunit ribosomal RNA", at positions 241 to 1194 of the family's 2925-position model. The record is from RNAcentral. Lineage: Bacteria; Pseudomonadati; Pseudomonadota; Gammaproteobacteria; Enterobacterales; Enterobacteriaceae.